CGAAAGGGCUAGGGCUCGACUCAUGCCUCGAAGUGUGAGUGGCGUUGGAGGCGAGGCGCAACCUCACCAGGAUUGCGGCGGACCGGCGGUUGAUUUUGGUUUGCACAGAUCUAGGGUUUUGUUGGGCUGAUUUUCGUUUGAAUUCAUUGUCUUUUUAGGUUGUGCGUGUGUUACAAAGGGAGGGUGAGAGGCAAGAGAAGGGAG
RNAcentral lists this long non-coding RNA (204 nucleotides) under Salvia miltiorrhiza (redroot sage). RNAcentral's name for it is "long non-coding RNA (SMIL_LNC013493)". The record is from RNAcentral. Lineage: Eukaryota; Viridiplantae; Streptophyta; Magnoliopsida; Lamiales; Lamiaceae.